RNAcentral lists this transfer RNA (76 nucleotides) under Staphylococcus sp. RNAcentral's name for it is "tRNA-His". It matches the Rfam family "tRNA". From Rfam's summary of the family: Transfer RNA (tRNA) molecules are approximately 80 nucleotides in length. Their secondary structure includes four short double-helical elements and three loops (D, anti-codon, and T loops). RNAcentral also lists the same sequence under 5 other names. The record is from RNAcentral. Lineage: Bacteria; Bacillati; Bacillota; Bacilli; Caryophanales; Staphylococcaceae.
GCGAAUAUGGUGAAGUGGUUAACACAGCGGAUUGUGGCUCCGUCAUGCGUGGGUUCGAAUCCCACUAUUCGCCCCA